GUGGGAGUGUCUUUAAUAAUGAUCUGUGAGGAUGGCCUGGUGCGGUAGCUCACUGCCUAUAAUCCCAGCACUUUGGGAGGCCAAGGAGGGCGGAUCACGAGGUCAGGAGAUCGAGACCAUCCUGGCUAACAAGCUGGAAGCAAAGGGUUCCAUGACAUCAGAACCACAUGAAGGAAGGAAUCAGAGUCCUUCAGCUGUUGCUCUCCUGGAGGACAGCCACUAUGAGAGCCCCAGAGCUAUAUAGAACUGUGACACAGACUGGAAACAAACUUCAAUCAUGUUGAACCACUAAGAUAUAAGGACAUUGGCUAGUGUAAAUUAUUCAGACUAAUUUUAAAAAUAAAUUAAUUAAAAAAAAUUCUUGCACAGCUAGGGAAAUAAUCAAUGAAAUGAAAAGGCAACCUAUGGAAUAGAAGAAGACAUUUGCAACCCAAAUAUCUGAUAAGGGGUUAAUUUCCAAAAUAUAUGAGUAAAUCAUAUAACUCAAUAACAAAAACAAAGAAACAAACACAAAAAACUCGAUUAAAAAUUGUGAAAGGACCUCAAUAGAUAUUUUUCCAAUGAAAAUAUACAAAUGGCCAGUAGAUUCAUGAAAUGGUGCUCAACAUCACUAACCGUCAGGGAAAUACAAACCAAAACCACAAGAUAUGACCUCACACCUGUUAGAAUGGCUAUUACCGAAAAGACAAGUGGUAACAAGUGCUGACAAGGAUAUGGAUAAAGGGAUUCCUUGUGAGCCGUUGGAGGGAAUGUAAAUUGUACUGCCAUUAUGGAAAACAAUAAAGAGGUUUAUCAAAAAAUUAAUCAAGUUAA
Molecule: long non-coding RNA, 813 nt
Organism: Gorilla gorilla gorilla (western lowland gorilla)
Lineage: Eukaryota; Metazoa; Chordata; Mammalia; Primates; Hominidae
Exons: 2
Source: RefSeq, a predicted model, not a curated record